AGACGUCUACAUUAGAUACCCGGGUAGUCCCAGCCGUAAACUAUGCGCGUUAGGUGUAUCGGUGACCACGAGUCACCGAGGUGCCGAAGGGAAACCGUGAAACGUGCCGCUUGGGAAGUACGGUCGCAAGGCUGAAACUUAAAGGAAUUGGCGGGGAGCACCACAACGGGUGGAGCCUGCGGUUUAAUUGGACUCAACGCCGGGAAGCUCACCGGAUAAGACAGCGGAAUGAUUGCCGGGCUGAAGACUCUGCAUGACUAGCUG
This 264-nucleotide ribosomal RNA is filed under the name uncultured archaeon. RNAcentral's name for it is "partial 16S ribosomal RNA". It matches the Rfam family "Archaeal small subunit ribosomal RNA", at positions 717 to 982 of the family's 1478-position model. The record is from RNAcentral.